UACGUAGGGUGCAAGCGUUUGUCCGGAAUCAUUGGGCGUAAAGGGCGCGUAGGUGGCGGGACAAGCGUGCGGUGAAAGCCUGGGGCUCAACCCCGGGUCGGCCGUGCGAACUGUUUUGCUUGAGCACUGUAGAGGCAGGCGGAAUUCCGGGUGUAGCGGUGGAAUGCGUAGAGAUCCGGAAGAACACCGGUGGCGAAGGCGGCCUGCUGGGCAGUAGCUGACACUGAGGCGCGACAGCGUGGGGAGCAAACAGG
Molecule: ribosomal RNA, 254 nt
Filed under: uncultured bacterium
Lineage: Bacteria
Description: partial 16S ribosomal RNA
Rfam family: Bacterial small subunit ribosomal RNA
Source: RNAcentral